RNAcentral lists this ribosomal RNA (204 nucleotides) under uncultured bacterium. RNAcentral describes it as "partial 16S ribosomal RNA". It matches the Rfam family "Bacterial small subunit ribosomal RNA", at positions 524 to 728 of the family's 1533-position model. The record is from RNAcentral.
UACGUAGGGUCCGAGCGUUGUCCGGAGUUACUGGGCGUAAAGCGCGCGCAGGCGGCGGUGCUGGCCCGGCGUGAAAGCCCCCGGCUCAACCGGGGAGGUCGUCGGGGACCGCACCGCUUGAGGGCGGUAGGGGCUGGUGGAAUGCCUGGUGUAGUGGUGAAAUGCGUAGAGAUCAGGCGGAACACCCGUGGCGAAGGCGGCCAG